GACGAACGCUGGCGGCGUGCUUAACACAUGCAAGUCGAACGGAAAGGCCCUGCUUUUGUGUGGUGCUCGAGUGACGAACGGGUGAGUACCACGUUAGUCAACUGCCCUUGACUUUAGGAUAACAUCAAGCAACUGCGACUACUACCGGAUAGCAGCUCCUGCUGCAUGGUGGGGGUUGGAAAGUUUCGGCGGUUGGGGAUGGACUCGCGGCUUAUCAGCUUGUUGGUGGGGUAGUGGCUUACCAAGGCUUUGACGGGUAGCCGGCCUGAGAGGGUGACCGGCCACAUUGGGACUGAGAUACGGCCCAGACUCCUACGGGAGGCAGCAGUGGGGAAUAUUGCACAAUGGGCGGAAGCCUGAUGCAGCAACGCCGCGUGCGGGAUGACGGCCUUCGGGUUGUAAACCGCUUUCGCCUGUGACGAAGCGUGAGUGACGGUAAUGGGUAAAGAAGCACCGGCUAACUACGUG
RNAcentral lists this ribosomal RNA (468 nucleotides) under uncultured bacterium. RNAcentral's name for it is "partial 16S ribosomal RNA". It matches the Rfam family "Bacterial small subunit ribosomal RNA", at positions 28 to 507 of the family's 1533-position model. The record is from RNAcentral.